Molecule: transfer RNA, 74 nt
Filed under: Arthrobacter sp. Bi26
Lineage: Bacteria; Bacillati; Actinomycetota; Actinomycetes; Micrococcales; Micrococcaceae
Description: tRNA-Arg
Rfam family: tRNA
About the family: Transfer RNA (tRNA) molecules are approximately 80 nucleotides in length. Their secondary structure includes four short double-helical elements and three loops (D, anti-codon, and T loops). Further hydrogen bonds mediate the characteristic L-shaped molecular structure. tRNAs have two regions of fundamental functional importance: the anti-codon, which is responsible for specific mRNA codon recognition, and the 3' end, to which the tRNAs corresponding amino acid is attached (by aminoacyl-tRNA synthetases). tRNAs cope with the degeneracy of the genetic code in two manners: having more than one tRNA (with a specific anti-codon) for a particular amino acid; and 'wobble' base-pairing, i.e. permitting non-standard base-pairing at the 3rd anti-codon position.
Source: RNAcentral
GCCUCCAUAGCUCAGCUAAUAGAGCAACGGCCUUCUAAUCCGCGUGUCGCGGGUUUGAAUCCCGCCGGGGGCAC